This 495-nucleotide ribosomal RNA is filed under the name uncultured bacterium. RNAcentral describes it as "partial 16S ribosomal RNA". It matches the Rfam family "Bacterial small subunit ribosomal RNA", at positions 28 to 507 of the family's 1533-position model. The record is from RNAcentral.
GACGAACGCUGGCGGCGUGCCUAAUACAUGCAAGUAGAACGCUGAAGGAGGAGCUUGCUUCUCUGGAUGAGUUGCGAACGGGUGAGUAACGCGUAGGUAACCUGCCUGGUAGCGGGGGAUAACUAUUGGAAACGAUAGCUAAUACCGCAUAACAGUAGAUAUCGCAUGAUAUCUACUUGAGAGGUGCAAUUGCAUCACUACCAGAUGGACCUGCGUUGUAUUAGCUAGUUGGUGAGGUAACGGCUCACCAAGGCGACGAUACAUAGCCGACCUGAGAGGGUGAUCGGCCACACUGGGACUGAGACACGGCCCAGACUCCUACGGGAGGCAGCAGUAGGGAAUCUUCGGCAAUAGACGGAAGUCUGACCGAGCAACGCCGCGUGAGUGAAGAAGGUUUUCGGAUCGUAAAGAUCUGUUGUAAGAGAAGAACGAGUGUGAGAGUGGAAAGUUCACACUGUGACGGUAUCUUACCAGAAAGGGACGGCUAACUACGUG